UUGGAGGGCAAGUCUGGUGCCAGCAGCCGCGGUAAUUCCAGCUCCAAUAGCGUAUAUUAAAGUUGUUGCAGUUAAAAAGCUCGUAGUUGAAUUUCGGGAUCAAUAUUUCGGUCAUGCCGUUGGUAUGCACUGUUAUCAUUGAUUUCUCACCUUCUAAAGAACCGUAAUGCCAUUAAUUUGGUGUACGGGAAUUAGGACGUAGCC
Molecule: ribosomal RNA, 204 nt
Filed under: uncultured fungus
Lineage: Eukaryota; Fungi
Description: partial small subunit ribosomal RNA
Rfam family: Eukaryotic small subunit ribosomal RNA
Source: RNAcentral